Molecule: unclassified non-coding RNA, 1359 nt
Filed under: uncultured Neocallimastigales
Lineage: Eukaryota; Fungi; Neocallimastigomycota; Neocallimastigomycetes; Neocallimastigales
Description: partial contains small subunit ribosomal RNA, internal transcribed spacer 1, 5.8S ribosomal RNA, internal transcribed spacer 2, and large subunit ribosomal RNA
Rfam family: Eukaryotic large subunit ribosomal RNA (bases 603-1359)
Source: RNAcentral
UUUCCGUAGGUGAACCUGCGGAAGGAUCAUUAAAAAAUAUCACAUUUGUUUGUGAUUUAAUAAUCAUCCUACCUUUGUGAAUUUGUUUUUGUUUGAAAUUUAUGUUGUCUAUCCCUGAUAUGGAAGAAAGUCGUUAAGAUUUUUUUCAUUCAGGGAAUAGGCUUCAUAGACAUUUUUUUAAAUUAAACUUUUGUAUUCAUUUGUCUAAAAUUUAUUUUUAAAUAAUUUAAAAACAACUUUUGACAAUGGAUCUCUUGGUUCUCGCAACGAUGAAGAACGCAGCAAAAUGCGAUAAGUAAUGUGAAUUGCAGAAUACGUGAAUCAUCAAAUUUUCGAACGCAUAUUGCACUUUUUUAGUUUACUAAAAAAGUAUGUCUGUUUGGUAUCAGUAAAAUAUUCUCAUAAAACUAUUGUUUUUAUGGUUAUGAGUGUUUUACAACGAUAACAAGUUGUUUCACUUUAAAUUGAUUUUUUUAAUAAGCCAAUUUGGUUUUAUUUUAAAAUUGGAUAAAAUUUUCCCGUAAAAAGGAAUAAACUUUUCAGUUUUAAAAUAAAAUCCUAAAUUGACCUUGAAAAAAGGAAAUUUAAUUAUAAAACUAACUUGAUCUCAAAUCAGAUAAGAGUACCCGCUGAACUUAAGCAUAUCAAUAAGCGGAGGAAAAGAAACUAACAAGGAUUCCUUAGUAACGGCGAGUGAAGCGGGAAGAGCUCAAUUUGAAAUCUUCAAGGUUCUACCUUGACGAAUUGUAGUUUAAAGAAGUGUUUUCUGUUAGUGGAGUGGCAAAAGUUCUUGGAAUAGACAUCAUAGAGGGUGAGAAUCCGUAUUUGGUCAUUCCUUCUAGCUUUGUGAUACACUUUCAAAGAGUCGGAUUGUUAGGAAUGCAGUCCAAAAUGGGUGGUAAAUUUCAUCUAAAGCUAAAUAUUGGCGAGAGACCGAUAGCGACAAGUACCGUGAGGGAAAGAUGAAAAGAACUUUGAAAAGAGAGUUAAACAGUACGUGAAAUUGUCAAAAGGGAAGCGUUUGACACCAGUGUUGUUUUUCCAAAAAUCAAUUAUAAAUGUUUUGUUUCUGAGGAGUGAUGACUUCAUCGGCUUCCUUCUCUCUUCACGAAACUUUUGUAAUGCACUUUUCGGUUAACAAGUCAACAUCAAUUUCUUUUGUUGUAAAGAGUAUUCGGAAGGUGGCUUUCUUUUCGGAGAAAGUGUUUAUAGCCCUAUACUUCUACAAUCGGAGAGAUUGAGGUCUGCAGCGUAGAUCCUUCGGGUUAGAUACAUUUGUGCUAAGUUAUAGCUUUCAUAGACAACUUGUUGACUAUGUUUAGUCUUGUAGCUUACUCGCUUGUGCUAUUUUACCUACGC